Neodiprion virginianus is the source of this 2320-nucleotide RNA transcript. It is a transcript of the gene named inorganic pyrophosphatase, with no coding region annotated. The transcript has 9 exons. The record is from RefSeq and is a predicted model, not a curated record. Lineage: Eukaryota; Metazoa; Arthropoda; Insecta; Hymenoptera; Diprionidae.
UAUAACCGGGACUGUUAUCUUUAUCGGCGGAUUGGAGGGCCCGUGUUGGUUUCCAAAGUAUUUUGUUUCCUUGUAACUCUCCAGGUGUCACUAUGACCGCCGUAGAGCUGCACGUGUUGCGGUCGGCCGCUUUGAGAAAAUUUCUAAUUCCCAUGAGUUUGGCCAGUGUCGGUCGUUGUAUGAAGCCGCAUAGUUCGGCAGCGAAGCGUGCCUUUCAAACCAACAUGUCUUAUACCACGGUUGAGAAGGGAACACCAAACACGACGAACUACAGGAUAUAUUUCAAAAAUGACAAAGGACCAGUUUCUCCGUUACACGACAUACCGUUGUACGCUGAUGAGGCAAAAAAGAUAUUCAAUAUGAUAGUUGAAGUGCCUCGAUGGACGAAUGCCAAGAUGGAGAUAAGCUUGAAGGAAACAUUGAAUCCAAUCAAGCAGGAUGUUAAGAAAGGAAAACUUAGGUUUGUUGCAAAUUGUUUCCCUCAUCACGGCUACAUUUGGAACUAUGGAGCCAUUCCACAGACGUGGGAAAAUCCUGAAGUAUUGGAUGAAGCAACAGGCUGCAAAGGUGACAAUGACCCUAUAGAUGUCCUUGAAAUUGGUUACAAAGUAGCGAAGCGUGGUGAGGUUUUGAAAGUCAAGGUGCUUGGUACUGUUGCACUAAUCGAUGAAGGUGAAACUGACUGGAAAAUUCUUACCAUCGAUGUUAAUGAUCCCUUGGCUGACCAGUUAAAUGAUGUUAAUGACAUCGAGAAACAUUUCCCUGGGCUACUGAAGGCAACCAUAGAAUGGUUCAAAAUAUAUAAGAUUCCUGAUGGUAAACCAGAAAAUCAAUUUGCUUUCAAUGGAGAAGCAAAACCUAAGGAUUUUGCAUUACAUGUCAUUGACGAAGUGCAUCAGCAUUGGCAAAGCCUCAUAAAAAAAGAAUCACCAGCUGGUGGUAUUGCUUGCACCAACGUAAGCGUAGAAGGCAGUCCUUUCAAAACUACUGUUAGUAGUAUGGAGGAAGUACUUGAAAAGGCUCCUGAGGCUGGAGAUGCACCACCCAUUGACAGUUCUGCGGAUAAGAGUUAUUUCGUGAGAGUCGAAGAAUUGAAAAACAAAUUAUAAUAUUCCAUAGCUUUGCUGUUGAUGUUCCCAAAUCACUUAUAUCUUCACGUUUGUUACCUAGUGUCAAAAAAUAAACUUGAUUUGAUAAGUGGCAUUACAUACAUUUGAAGUGAAGCAUAGAAGGUUCAUCUCCGAUGUUGUUUCCACUUUGCAAAACGAUGCCUCGAAGGAUUUUAAAUGUAUAUGUAAUUCCUUGCAGAUUGUUAAUUCACUAGAAUGUUUUAUGCAGAAGAAGGUUUAGCAUGAGACAAUCUCAGUGUACCUCUAUAUUGACUCAUAGUUUUCAAAAUCCUGAGAAAAUUUUUGUGUAUUGUUACUGGUUAAUUGUAUUAUAACAGAACACGCCUUCCCCAUACUUGCUCAUUCACUGACAUUUGAUUAUAGCCCAGUCAAUAUGUCCAAAUAAUCAACCUGAAAUAACAUUAAUUCUUUCCUGGAUUUUUCUUGUUUUAAUAGUUGUAGGUGGGACGGGCGUCACUGGUAGUGUAAAUUCAACGUGGUGACCAAAUUUGAUGAAAAAUGGGUUUUCCUAAAUAACUCGGUCAUUUUCUAUUUUAACAAAAAAUUGUAAAGACCGAACUUGUAGGAAGUUCAAUUUUCUACAACUUUGGUCUUUGCAGUUUUUUUUUUCUAAUAUCGAUAGUUUUGAAUCAAACCUAAAAAAGUGGCUAAGUAAAACUAUUGCAUCAUCUCGUUUAUUUUGAACUUUAGGACAUAAAUGAACAUAAUCAAAUUUUUAGUGAAUUAAAUGUCCUACAAAUUUGGUGCUUACAAUUUAUCGAUUAACUUGAAAAUGGUCGAGUUAUUCAAGAAAAACCAUUUUUCAUCAAAUUCAGAAUGGCGGACAUAUGCAACAGCAGGAUUUGAUGCCAUUUUGAAUUUACACUACCAUUGACCCCCCCCCUCACCAAUUAAAACAAGAAAAAUCGGAAAAAGAAUUAUUGCAAUGUUAAAAGUACACAGUAAUAGACUGGGCUGUUACCUUCCUGGUGGAGAGUUUAUCAAUACUAAAGUUCUACAGAUAUUUUUUGUAUCAUUAGUUUCAAUGAUGGUCAAUGGUUAUUUAUUUAUUUCCGUAUAAUUGUGGGAUCAGGAUAGGAUCGAGUGGCUGUGUCUAGCAGUCAUUUGUUUCCACUAGGUUAGCUAUUCCUUUGUUGAAUGUUAUACGAUAUUUGUCUUUCAUAAAUAAAUAAACUCAAUUAUUCCAAGUA